UACGUAGGGUGCGAGCGUUGUCCGGAAUUACUGGGCGUAAAGCGCGCGUAGGUGGUUUGUUAAGUUGGAUGUGAAAUCCCCGGGCUCAACCUGGGAACUGCAUCCAAAACUGGCAAGCUAGAGUAUGGUAGAGGGUGGUGGAAUUUCCUGUGUAGCGGUGAAAUGCGUAGAUAUAGGAAGGAACACCAGUGGCGAAGGCGACCACCUGGACUGAUACUGACACUGAGGUGCGAAAGCGUGGGGAGCAAACAGG
Molecule: ribosomal RNA, 253 nt
Filed under: uncultured bacterium
Lineage: Bacteria
Description: partial 16S ribosomal RNA
Rfam family: Bacterial small subunit ribosomal RNA
Source: RNAcentral